This 227-nucleotide long non-coding RNA is filed under the name Ananas comosus (pineapple). Its description in RNAcentral is "long non-coding RNA (ACOM_LNC008395)". Lineage: Eukaryota; Viridiplantae; Streptophyta; Magnoliopsida; Poales; Bromeliaceae. The record is from RNAcentral.
UUAUAUUUUAUAUUUAUUAAUAAUUGUAUUUUUGUUACUUGAAUAUGAAAAAUUUACUCUUUUUUUUUUUUUUUGAGAAAUAGGUAGCAAGCUACCUGCUUCAUUCAUUAAGUUAAAUGAACUGAGCGUACAUGUUGGAAGCAGCUAAGGCUUCCGAGAUACAUGCAAAAAAUUGGAGGGGGGGUGACAAGCAAAAGAUGAGGGCGGAGGCAGGGGAAGAAAAGAAA